This 133-nucleotide small RNA is filed under the name Arabidopsis thaliana (thale cress). Its description in RNAcentral is "ATSL271930". The record is from RNAcentral. Lineage: Eukaryota; Viridiplantae; Streptophyta; Magnoliopsida; Brassicales; Brassicaceae.
UUUCCUUGUUAGUAGAUACAAAGACAAAGACUCAUAUAGAUUUCGGCUACACCAUCAAUGCUUUGAGAAGCAAGAAGAAGCUUGGUUAGUGUUUUGGAGUGAAAUAUGACAAGAUGUCAUGUGUAUGAGUGAA